This 497-nucleotide ribosomal RNA is filed under the name uncultured bacterium. RNAcentral's name for it is "partial 16S ribosomal RNA". It matches the Rfam family "Bacterial small subunit ribosomal RNA", at positions 28 to 507 of the family's 1533-position model. The record is from RNAcentral.
GAUGAACGCUGGCGGCGUGCCUAAUACAUGCAAGUCGAGCGAACGGACGAGAAGCUUGCUUCUCUGAUGUUAGCGGCGGACGGGUGAGUAACACGUGGAUAACCUACCUAUAAGACUGGGAUAACCUCGGGAAACCGUAGCUAAUACCGGAUAAUAUUUUGAACCGCAUGGUUCAAAAGUGAAAGACGGUCUUGCUGUCACUUAUAGAUGGAUCCGCGCUGCAUUAGCUAGUUGGUAGGGUAACGGCUUACCAAGGCAACGAUGCAUAGCCGACCUGAGAGGGUGAUCGGCCACACUGGAACUGAGACACGGUCCAGACUCCUACGGGAGGCAGCAGUAGGGAAUCUUCCGCAAUGGGCGAAAGCCUGACGGGGCAACGCCGCGUGAGUGAUGAAGGUCUUCGGAUCGUAAAACUCUGUUAUUAGGGAAGAACAUAUGUGUAAGUAACUGUGCACAUCUUGACGGUACCUAAUCAGAAAGCCACGGCUAACUACGUG